GGACCACUAUUUGGGUAUGCCCUUGAUAAACUCAUGAAUAAGAAAACAUACAGGUACAUCUUAGAUGGAGCAUGACGAAGAAUUUUAAGGUGGAAUACUUCUAACUUAUCUUUCAAAGGUAGAGUCACUCUCACUAACGUUUGUGGGUGACUCGACUUUUUUGGCCGCAGAAAUCAUCCUAGUUGAUCUUAAAUUGAAGCUCUUGAUAUG
RNAcentral lists this unclassified non-coding RNA (210 nucleotides) under Hevea brasiliensis (rubber tree). The record is from RNAcentral. Lineage: Eukaryota; Viridiplantae; Streptophyta; Magnoliopsida; Malpighiales; Euphorbiaceae.